This 465-nucleotide ribosomal RNA is filed under the name uncultured bacterium. Its description in RNAcentral is "partial 16S ribosomal RNA". It matches the Rfam family "Bacterial small subunit ribosomal RNA", at positions 28 to 507 of the family's 1533-position model. The record is from RNAcentral.
GACGAACGCUGGCGGCGUGCUUAACACAUGCAAGUCGUACGGUAAGGCCCUUUCGGGGGUACACGAGUGGCGAACGGGUGAGUAACACGUGAGUAACCUGCCCACAACUUUGGGAUAACGCUAGGAAACUGGUGCUAAUACUGGCUAUGUGCUCCUGCUGCAUGGUGGGGGUUGGAAAGCUCCGGCGGUUGUGGAUGGACUCGCGGCCUCUCAGCUUGUUGGUGGGGUAGUGGCCUACCAAGGCGGCGACGGGUAGCCGGCCUGAGAGGGUGACCGGCCACAGUGGGAAUGAGAUACGGCCCAGACUCCGACGGGAGGCAGCAGUGGGGAAGAUUGCACAAUGGGCGCAAGCCUGAUGCAGCAACGCCGCGUGCGGGAUGACGGCCUUCGGGUUGUAAACCGCUUUCAGCAGGGACGAAGCUUUUUGUGACGGUACCUGCAGAAGAAGCACCGGCUAACUACGUG